This 497-nucleotide ribosomal RNA is filed under the name uncultured bacterium. RNAcentral's name for it is "partial 16S ribosomal RNA". It matches the Rfam family "Bacterial small subunit ribosomal RNA", at positions 28 to 507 of the family's 1533-position model. The record is from RNAcentral.
GAUGAACGCUGGCGGCGUGCCUAAUACAUGCAAGUCGAGCGAACAGACGAGGAGCUUGCUCCUCUGACGUUAGCGGCGGACGGGUGAGUAACACGUGGAUAACCUACCUAUAAGACUGGGAUAACUUCGGGAAACCGGAGCUAAUACCGGAUAAUAUAUUGAACCGCAUGGUUCAAUAGUGAAAGACGGUUUUGCUGUCACUUAUAGAUGGAACCGCGCCGCAUUAGCUAGUUGGUAAGGUAACGGCUUACCAAGGCAACGAUGCGUAGCCGACCUGAGAGGGUGAUCGGCCACACUGUAACUGAGACACGGUCCAGACUCCUACGGGAGGCAGCAGUAGGGAAUCUUCCGCAAUGGGCGAAAGCUUGACGGAGCAACGCCGCGUGAGUGAUGAAGGUCUUCGGAUCGUAAAACUCUGUUAUUAGGGAAGAACAAAUGUGUAAGUAACUAUGCACGUCUUGACGGUACCUAAUCAGAAAGCCACGGCUAACUACGUG